RNAcentral lists this non-coding RNA (65 nucleotides) under unclassified sequences. The record is from RNAcentral.
GCCGUAAUGCGGCUUAUUGAGUUUUCGAUAAACGGUCACAAGCCCGUGUAAACGCAGAGUGUGGU